RNAcentral lists this ribosomal RNA (433 nucleotides) under uncultured bacterium. RNAcentral describes it as "partial 16S ribosomal RNA". It matches the Rfam family "Bacterial small subunit ribosomal RNA", at positions 29 to 507 of the family's 1533-position model. The record is from RNAcentral.
AACGAACGCUGGCGGCAUGCCUAACACAUGCAAGUCGAACGAGACCUUCGGGUCUAGUGGCGCACGGGUGCGUAACGCGUGGGAACCUGCCCUUAGGUUCGGAAUAACUCAGAGAAAUUUGAGCUAAUACCGGAUAAUGUCUUCGGACCAAAGAUUUAUCGCCUUUGGAUGGGCCCGCGUAGGAUUAGCUUGUUGGUGGGGUAAUGGCCUACCAAGGCGACGAUCCUUAGCUGGUCUGAGAGGAUGAUCAGCCACACUGGGACUGAGACACGGCCCAGACUCCUACGGGAGGCAGCAGUGGGGAAUAUUGGACAAUGGGCGAAAGCCUGAACCAGCUAUGCCGCGUGAGUGAUGAAGGCCUUAGAGUUGUAAAGCUCUUUUACCAGGGAUGAUAAUGACGGUACCUGGAGAAUAAGCACCGGCUAACUCCGUG